AUGGAGGUUCCGGAAGACCAUAGAGUUCCUAUGGUCGCAUACAAGCUGAAAGGAGGAGCCGGUGCAUGGUGGCAUCACGUUCAAGAAGAGCACAAGCUGAGAGGAGAAGCUCAUGUGAGAACUUGGUGGCAAAUGAAAACUCUCUUGAAAGGGAGAUUUUUGCCCGCUGAUUAUGACCAGAUCCUAUUUAUCCAAUUUCAAAAUUGUACUCAAGGAAAUAGGACUAUUUCAGAUUACCUGGAAGAGUUUCUAAGGCUACAAGUGAGGUGCAACCUUGCUGAAACUGAAGAUCAACAAGUUGCAAGGUACAUCAAUGGUCUCAAUGAUGCUAUUCAAGCUCGAAUGAUGAUGCAACAAAUCUGGUAUGUUGAUCAAGCACAAGCUCUAGCCUUAAAGGCCGAGAGGUUUAUGAGGACAAGAAGGCAACUAAAGCUCCAUAUCCUCCAUAUCGUCAUACCGAAGGCUCGUCUAGGAGUCAGCCUAAUAGAGUGGAAGAAAGGACGGCUCCACCAAAGGCAAAACGACCCAUCCAAAAGCAAACUAGAGGCAAGGGCAAGUCCAAUGAAGGCCCAAAAUGCUAUAAAUGUGGUGAAGAGGGACACAUAUCCAGUGACUGUCCACUAA
This 624-nucleotide ribosomal RNA is filed under the name Triticum aestivum (bread wheat). RNAcentral's name for it is "partial small subunit ribosomal RNA". Lineage: Eukaryota; Viridiplantae; Streptophyta; Magnoliopsida; Poales; Poaceae. The record is from RNAcentral.